Molecule: non-coding RNA, 120 nt
Filed under: Bacillus methanolicus MGA3
Lineage: Bacteria; Bacillati; Bacillota; Bacilli; Caryophanales; Bacillaceae
Source: RNAcentral
AUAAAGGUAUGGAAUUUUGGAUUUGUAAUUGUCGAUGGGAAGACAUUUAAAAACAAAUUCCGAUACCUAUCUGAAUAACCUGCUUUCAAGUAGGUUAAGGAAGCUUUAUGGAUAGACCGC